RNAcentral lists this ribosomal RNA (304 nucleotides) under uncultured bacterium. RNAcentral describes it as "partial 16S ribosomal RNA". It matches the Rfam family "Bacterial small subunit ribosomal RNA", at positions 506 to 809 of the family's 1533-position model. The record is from RNAcentral.
CAGCAGUCGCCACGGGAAUACAGAGGGUGCGAGCGUUAAUCGGAUUUACUGGGCGUAAAGCGUGCGUAGGCGGCUUUUUAAGUCGGAUGUGAAAUCCCUGAGCUUAACUUAGGAAUUGCAUUCGAUACUGGGAAGCUAGAGUAUGGGAGAGGAUGGUAGAAUUCCAGGUGUAGCGGUGAAAUGCGUAGAGAUCUGGAGGAAUACCGAUGGCGAAGGCAGCCAUCUGGCCUAAUACUGACGCUGAGGUACGAAAGCAUGGGGAGCAAACAGGAUUAGAUACCCGUGUAGUCCCUGUCUCUUAUAA